UUUCCUACGGGUGGCUGCAGUGAGGAAUAUUGGUCAAUGGACGAGAGUCUGAACCAGCCAAGUCGCGUGAAGGAAGAAGGUUCUAUGGAUUGUAAACUUCUUUUGUAAGGGAAUAAAAAAGAGUACGUGUACUCUAUUGUAUGUACUUUACGAAUAAGGAUCGGCUAACUCCGUGCCAGCAGCCGCGGUAAUACGGAGGAUCCGAGCGUUAUCCGGAUUUAUUGGGUUUAAAGGGUGCGUAGGCGGACUUAUAAGUCAGCGGUGAAAGUUUGCAGCUUAACUGUAAAAUUGCCGUUGAAACUGUUAGUCUUGAGUGUAAAUGAGGUAGGCGGAAUGUGUUGUGUAGCGGUGAAAUGCUUAGAUAUAACACAGAACACCAAUUGCGAAGGCAGCUUACUGGGAUACAACUGACGCUGAGGCACGAAAGCGUGGGGAUCAAACAGGAUUAGAUACCCCGGUAGUCUCU
This 466-nucleotide ribosomal RNA is filed under the name uncultured Paludibacter sp. RNAcentral describes it as "bacterial SSU rRNA". It matches the Rfam family "Bacterial small subunit ribosomal RNA", at positions 335 to 798 of the family's 1533-position model. The record is from RNAcentral. Lineage: Bacteria; Pseudomonadati; Bacteroidota; Bacteroidia; Bacteroidales; Paludibacteraceae.